CCUACGGGAGGCAGCAGUGGGGAAUAUUGGACAAUGGGGGCAACCCUGAUCCAGCGACGCCGCGUGUGUGAAGAAGGCCUGCGGGUUGUAAAGCACUUUUAGUGGGGAUGAAAAGCACAUCGAUAACACCGGUGUGUCUUGACCUAACCCACAGAAAAAGCACCGGCUAACUCUGUGCCAGCAGCCGCGGUAAUACAGAGGGUGCAAGCGUUAAUCGGAAUUACUGGGCGUAAAGCGUGCGUAGACGGUUAUUUAAGUCGGGUGUGAAAUCCCCGGGCUCAACCUGGGAAUUGCAUUCGAGACUGAAUAGCUAGGGUGCGGAAGAGGGAAGCGGAAUUUCCGGUGUAGCGGUGAAAUGCGUAGAUAUCGGAAGGAACACCAGUGGCGAAAGCGGCUUCCUGGUCCAGCACCGACGUUCAGGCACGAAAGCGUGGGGAGCA
This 440-nucleotide ribosomal RNA is filed under the name uncultured bacterium. Its description in RNAcentral is "bacterial SSU rRNA". It matches the Rfam family "Bacterial small subunit ribosomal RNA", at positions 338 to 770 of the family's 1533-position model. The record is from RNAcentral.